GAUAAAGUCUGCAAAGUCCGGCAGAUAUAAAAGCACAUUUUCACUAUUGAGCAAUAGUGUUUAACUCUACCAUUUUAAUGCUUAUUUAAUACGUUUUUACAGGGGAUUUUUGAUAAAGUCAGGCACCAGUGUCUACAUAUCCUUUGGAGUGUUUACUUAGAUGGCCUUAAGUCUAAGCCUGCUGGAAGAGGUUCAGUUACUUGUCCAAUAUUGUAUCCAAUAGCAUGGCAAUACCAUUUUGUGUGUUCUCUCACCAAAAAUGUGUGUGUGUGUGUUCACUUAAAGGACCACUAUAGGCACCCAUACCACUUAAGCUCAAUGCAGUGGUCUGGGUGCCAGGUCACUCUAGUUUUAACCCUGCAGCUGAAAACAGCAGUUUCAGAGAAACGGCUAUAUUUCACUGAGGGUUAAUCCAGCCUCUAGUGGCUGUCUCACUGACAGCCGCUGAAGGCCCUUCUGUGAUUCUCACCGUGAAAAGCAAUGAGAAGACGCUGGCAUUGAGUAAUGCUUUCAUAUGGGCUGUUUGAAGUGCGUGCGUGACUCUUUCUGCCCAUGCAGAUCUGACGUCGGCAGGGGGUCGAGAGUUCCUCAGCACAGAGGGAGCCCGGCGCUGGAGAAAGGCAAGUGGCUGAAGGGGUUUUUACCUCUAGUGCCAGGAAAAAGUUUGUUUUCCUGUCACUAUAGUGCUUCUUUAAGUG
Molecule: non-coding RNA, 698 nt
Organism: Pelobates cultripes (western spadefoot toad)
Lineage: Eukaryota; Metazoa; Chordata; Amphibia; Anura; Pelobatidae
Source: the annotation of a GenBank genome assembly